AUGUACCACUCGCCCACUCGUGCGCGAGCCCGGUCCGAUUCCUGCGCGCUGCGCGCACCCGCCUGGCAACCGCUCGCUACGCUUUGUUGGCC
This 92-nucleotide small RNA is filed under the name Pseudomonas sp. AS2.8. RNAcentral's name for it is "sRNA sX9". It matches the Rfam family "Xanthomonas sRNA sX9". Lineage: Bacteria; Pseudomonadati; Pseudomonadota; Gammaproteobacteria; Pseudomonadales; Pseudomonadaceae. The record is from RNAcentral.